AGUGGACGCUGGCGGCGUGCCUAAUACAUGCAAGUCGAACGGAAUUUAAGAGGGCUUGCUCUUUUAAAUUUAGUGGCGCACGGGUGAGUAAUAUAUAGCUAAUCUGCCCCUUGCUGGAGGACAACAGUUAGAAAUGACUGCUAAUACUCCAUACUCCUUUUUACCAUAAGAUAAAUCGGGAAAGAAUUUCGGCAAGGGAUGAGACUAUAUCGUAUCAGCUAGUCGGUGGGGUAACGGCCUACCGAGGCUAUGACGCGUAACUGGUCUGAGAGGAUGAUCAGUCACAUUGGAACUGAGACACGGUCCAAACUCCUACGGGAGGCAGCAGUAGGGAAUAUUGCGCAAUGGGGGAAACCCUGACGCAGCAACGCCGCGUGGAGGAUGACACUUUUCGGAGCGUAAACUCCUUUUGUUAGGGAAGAAUAAUGACGGUACCUAACGAAUAAGCACCGGCUAACUCCGUGCCAGCAGCCGCGGUAAUACGGAGGGUGCAAGCGUUACUCGGAAUCACUGGGCGUAAAGGACGCGUAGGCGGAUUAUCAAGUCUCUUGUGAAAUCUAACGGCUUAACCGUUAAACUGCUUGGGAAACUGAUAAUCUAGAGUAAGGGAGAGGCAGAUGGAAUUCUUGGUGUAGGGGUAAAAUCCGUAGAUAUCAAGAAGAAUACCUAUUGCGAAGGCGAUCUGCUGGAACUUAACUGACGCUAAUGCGUGAAAGCGUGGGGAGCAAACAGG
Molecule: ribosomal RNA, 733 nt
Filed under: uncultured Campylobacter sp.
Lineage: Bacteria; Pseudomonadati; Campylobacterota; Epsilonproteobacteria; Campylobacterales; Campylobacteraceae
Description: bacterial SSU rRNA
Rfam family: Bacterial small subunit ribosomal RNA
Source: RNAcentral